This 492-nucleotide ribosomal RNA is filed under the name uncultured bacterium. RNAcentral's name for it is "partial 16S ribosomal RNA". It matches the Rfam family "Bacterial small subunit ribosomal RNA", at positions 29 to 507 of the family's 1533-position model. The record is from RNAcentral.
AGUGAACGCUGGCGAUAGGCCUAAUACGUGCAAGUCGAACGGCAGCACAGUAAGAGCUUGCUCUUACGGGUGGCGAGUGGCGGACGGGUGAGGAAUACAUCGGAAUCUACUUUUUCGUGGGGGAUAACGUAGGGAAACUUACGCUAAUACCGCAUACGACCUACGGGUGAAAGCAGGGGAUCUUCGGACCUUGCGCGAUUGAAUGAGCCGAUGUCGGAUUAGCUAGUUGGCGGGGUAAAGGCCCACCAAGGCGACGAUCCGUAGCUGGUCUGAGAGGAUGAUCAGCCACACUGGAACUGAGACACGGUCCAGACUCCUACGGGAGGCAGCAGUGGGGAAUAUUGGACAAUGGGCGCAAGCCUGAUCCAGCCAUACCGCGUGGGUGAAGAAGGCCUUCGGGUUGUAAAGCCCUUUUGUUGGGAAAGAAAAGCAGCAGGUUAAUACCCCGCUGUUCUGACGGUACCCAAAGAAUAAGCACCGGCUAACUUCGUG